RNAcentral lists this transfer RNA (95 nucleotides) under Armillaria solidipes. Its description in RNAcentral is "tRNA-Thr". The record is from RNAcentral. Lineage: Eukaryota; Fungi; Basidiomycota; Agaricomycetes; Agaricales; Physalacriaceae.
UCUCUCUUAGCUCAGUUGGUAGAGUGCAUCGUUAGUAUGUUAUGAAAAUGAUAUCUUUAAUGAUGAGGUCAGUUGUUCAAGUCAGCUAGAGGGAA